This 72-nucleotide transfer RNA is filed under the name Camelus bactrianus (Bactrian camel). It matches the Rfam family "tRNA". From Rfam's summary of the family: Transfer RNA (tRNA) molecules are approximately 80 nucleotides in length. The record is from Rfam by way of RNAcentral. RNAcentral also lists the same sequence under 1 other name. Lineage: Eukaryota; Metazoa; Chordata; Mammalia; Artiodactyla; Camelidae.
GGGGGUGAAGCUCAGUGGUAGAGCACAUGCUUAGCAUGCAUGAGGUCCUAGGUUCAACCACCAGUACCUCCA